RNAcentral lists this ribosomal RNA (506 nucleotides) under uncultured bacterium. Its description in RNAcentral is "partial 16S ribosomal RNA". It matches the Rfam family "Bacterial small subunit ribosomal RNA", at positions 29 to 523 of the family's 1533-position model. The record is from RNAcentral.
AGUGAACGCUGGCGGUAGGCCUAACACAUGCAAGUCGAACGGCAGCACAGGAGAGCUUGCUCUCUGGGUGGCGAGUGGCGGACGGGUGAGGAAUACAUCGGAAUCUACUUUUUCGUGGGGGAUAACGUAGGGAAACUUACGCUAAUACCGCAUACGACCUACGGGUGAAAGCAGGGGAUCCUCGGACCUUGCGCGAUUGAAUGAGCCGAUGUCGGAUUAGCUAGUUGGCGGGGUAAAGGCCCACCAAGGCGACGGUCCGUAGCUGGUCUGAGAGGAUGAUCAGCCACACUGGAACGGAGACACGGUCCAGACUCCUACGGGAGGCAGCAGUGGGGAAUAUUGGACAAUGGGCGCAAGCCUGAUCCGGCCAUACCGCGUGGGUGAAGAAGGCCUUCGGGUUGUAAAGCCCUUUUGUUGGGAAAGAAAUCCAGCUGGUUAAUACCCGGUUGGGAUGACGGUACCCAAAGAAUAAGCACCGGCUAACUUCGUGCCAGCCGCCGCCGUAA